GAUGUCAUCCAAUCCAAUAAAACAAGGAAAAUCUGAGAGUUAACUAGUGAUGUCACGGUUAAUUUGGAGCAUUUUCGUUCAUAAUUCAAUGAAGUAGUAACUAGAAAUCGAGUUAUUUGCAUACAUGUCAUGUGUGGAGAAAAAGCCUCUUGCUAUCCCAUCCAUCAUCUUAUUUCUCAAAUUUGUUUUACAAUCUGUCUAGUUUUUCAUACCUGUUUGUUUGUUUCAACUUCGUCCAAAACUCAAUCCCCCUUUACUUUAGUGUGUCUAAUUAGUUAGAAUCUGUUUUAAUUUGUGUUUUUAAAUGUUUUGAUUCAAGUAAAAGUCCAUUUUCGUCCAAAGUCAUUCCUAGUGUCUAGUUUAAGUUUAUUUAGUUGUUCUAAGCUGGUUUGAGUAUUUUAAGUUUGCUUUGAGUUUUGUGAGUCUUGUUAAGUAUUUUUAAGUUUAGUUUUAUGUUUUUGAGUUAGUUUAGAGGUUAUUAGCAAGCCUUCCUAAUCCCCGGUCCAGAACGAUCCCUACUUAUACUUGUACUACAAUUGUCAAAAGAGGGUUAAAUUUGUGUGUUAAGAUAAUUUUUGCAUCACCACUGAGGUGGCCAUGAAAUAUAGAUAACGCCCUUUAGCGCAUAGAACUUUCGGUGAAAUGAGUGAUUGGGCACUUGACAGUUAAUGUUUCUUGUUUUAGAAUUGUAACAAUGGGAAUUAAUGAAAAAAAUGAUCGAGCCUUGCAAAAGAUGAAGUGACUUCCUGGGGAGGUAUGCCGAGAUCUUGAUCCUGAGGAUGAAUCGGCGUCUCUGUUGUCACCUCUGGUUCGACUAAGGGUGCUGCUUC
Molecule: long non-coding RNA, 830 nt
Filed under: Malus domestica (apple)
Lineage: Eukaryota; Viridiplantae; Streptophyta; Magnoliopsida; Rosales; Rosaceae
Description: long non-coding RNA (MDOM_LNC005835)
Source: RNAcentral